Strigops habroptila (Kakapo) is the source of this 4117-nucleotide RNA transcript. It is a transcript of the gene named asparaginase, with no coding region annotated. Lineage: Eukaryota; Metazoa; Chordata; Aves; Psittaciformes; Psittacidae. The transcript is spliced from 16 exons. The record is from RefSeq and is a predicted model, not a curated record.
GAGGUAGCGGUUCGCUCGGGAGCGGGAUGGAGGCGGGAGCGGCGGCACGGCACCCCGCGGGGCCGCGGUCGCUGGGCAGAGCCCUGGCCGGCCCCCGUCCUGAGGAGCGCCCCGGCUGCCCCCCGGCCGCCGCCGGCGACUCGAAGGCCGAGGCGCGGGUGCUGGUCAUCAACACGGGGGGCACUAUCGGCAUGGUGCAGGACGACAAGGGACUUGCUCCUGAGGCAAAUAAAUUAGUAAGCAGCUUGAAAACAAUGCCAAUGCUGCAUGAUGAGGCAUAUGCCCAGGAAACAAAACUGAACAGCUUCCAUGAAUUUCCAGAAAACACACUGGUGCUGCCUGUCUCUAAGCAAAAUAAAAGAAUUUUUUACACAAUCCUGGAGCUCUCACCACUGCUUGAUUCUUCCAACAUGACUCCAGAGGACUGGGCCAAAAUUGCAAAGAAACUUGAGGAGCACUACGAAAAGUAUGAUGGUUUUGUGAUCCUUCACGGCACUGAUACCAUGGCAUAUACAGCUUCAGCCUUAUCCUUCAUGUGUGAGAAUCUGGGUAAAACUGUUGUUCUGACAGGAUCUCAGGUACCCAUAUACGAGUUACAGAAUGACGGCCGAGCCAACCUUCUGGGGGCACUGCUAUUUGCUGGGCAGUUCGUGAUUCCUGAGGUGUGCCUGUAUUUUUAUAAUAAACUGUACAGGGGAAAUAGGGUGACUAAGGUGGAUGCUGCGAGUUUCAAUGCCUUUUCCUCACCUAACCUGCCUCCACUUGCAAAUGCUGAGGUUGAUAUUACAAUAAACUGGGAAACAGUGUGGAGAGCCAAUACCAAAAAGAAAUUUCGAGUUCACACCAAUAUGAACAGGAAUGUUGGGCUUCUGCGAAUCUUCCCAGGAAUCACUGCUGCUGUUGUAAAAGCCUUUCUUCAGCCUCCAAUUGAGGGCAUUGUACUUGAAGCUUAUGGAAGUGGCAAUGCCCCAAACAACAGAGAAGACUUGCUGGAAGAACUGAAGAAAGCAGCUGAACGGAAAGUAGUGAUUCUAAACUGUACGCAGUGCUUACGAGGGUCUGUCAAAACAGUCUAUGCAACAGGGCAGACUCUCGCUGAUGUUGGAGUAAUUCCUGGAGGUGAUAUGACACCAGAGGCAGCCCUAACUAAACUGUCAUACACACUCAGCAAGAGUAAGCUUAGCUGGGAGGAAAAAAGGCAGAUGCUGAGUGAGAAUCUAAGAGGAGAAAUGACUGUUGUACCCACAGGAGCCAAGAUCUCUUUGAGAGAUAGCAAGUUUAUUCAAGUGAUUGCCAAAUCUCUAAGUAUCAGCAGCAAGGAGGAGUUAGAAGCCGUAAGAGAUGCAUUAAUUCCACCUUUGGCUUGUGCUGCAGCUAAACUGGGUGACAUUGACGCACUAAGAGCCAUAGCAGAAAUGGGUGGAAACCUGAGCUGUGGAGACUAUGAUGGCCGAACUCCACUUCAUAUUGCAGCCUCUGAAGGGCAUUUACCAUUAGUUGAGUAUUUGUUGACAUCUGGCGCAACUGUUUAUGCUAGAGACAGAUACGGAUCUACCCCGCUGAUGAAUGCGAUCAGGUUCAGGCACAUACAAGUGAUUAAUUUGUUACGAGAAACGGGAGCGCACCUUUCAAGCCAGGACUUGGAGAACAUUGGAACAAUACUCUGCAGUGGUUUCUGCUUUGCACCUGGCUGAACGAUGAGAUUCUGUUUGGCAUAUACAGUUCUUUCCUGUCCAGUGCUGGAGACGGCUGUAACUCUCAUGUGGUAGGUAGGCUUUUUGUUUGUUUGUACCUUAAUCCUGGGACCUUCCAGUGUUAACAGCAAGAGACUUGUCUUUGUAUGUGAAGAUAAUUCUUGUGCUCCAGAAGUGGCUGCUAAGCAAUUUCUUCUUUGCUUUACUAAUGCUUACACUUUUUCUUUAUUAAUUUUUACUUUUUCUGCAGCUUCCUAAAGGUCUUCCCACUGAGCUUCCUGUUAGACUGCUGCUGUUUCCUUAUUGCUUCUAGGGGCCUUUUUUUGUGAUGUCAGUUUUCAUUAAGGAUUUAUCGAUCCUUUUCUUCAUGAUGUCAGCCUGAAGCACUGUUAAAUCUUAUAGCACCCCACUGCCACUUCCCUGUUCUCCAAAGAUCGUAGCUGUAGGUCUUCUGCCCUGACUCAGGGUUGGUGGGAUUGCAGGGAGGAACACAGAGACUGUUUGCUUUCCCUUUCCAUGCCCAGCCUCUGGGACUGCUGCAAACAAAAGCUUCUGACUUUCUCCUCAGACUGCUGCAAUUAGAGGCUUCCACUCCCCUGAAAACAUUUUUUUCAGGUACUUAAGAGAUUUAAUCAACAACAGAAGCGAUUUCAGCCUAGCAGAGAAAUGAAUGUUGCAGCCGUGCUUUCACGGUUUCUUUCAUAAGCUUAGCUGACUGUCUGCCCCUUGCAUCUUCCAGCCUUCUCCACUGUCCACCAGGUCUGCCUGGCUUGGUUGUCAUACUCAGGAGUUCGUCACCAUCCUCCAUCCCUGCUGCCAGCAGUAUGCCUUUCCCCCCACAGCGAGCACUGUUUAAGGCAGCAAACUCUGAACUUUGUAAGUCUGGGGAGGGUUCCCCCUCUCUUAAUGAGAUUCAACCUCACUUGAUUAUGGUUCUGCUGAAACAAUCUGCAAGCACAAAGCAAGCUCAGGUCUGCAGCCUGACAGAUGUUGUGUCUUGAGAAAACUGAAUGUAGUCCCCUUAGUCUUGCUGUUGGUUCAGCCUGUCUGCAGGCUUGAUACAGACCAUCAUGCCUUUGCAUAUGUACAGGCUGUUAGCCAUUCUUAUGCCAAAUAGAAGUUCAAAAUGAACCUUAAAUAUUAUGGAUGAGACUACCAGCAGAUGUGUGAAGAAACAAUCUGGUGUAUAUUAUGUGAUUAAUUUUGAUCCUUUCUAUUGCUUGUUGCACAUGGCAUAAAGACAGAGGUCAUCUUUAAAAAGCCUUUUUUUUUUUUACUUGCACAUUUAAAUGUUACAAAUUAUUCUAUAAAUUUCAAAAAAUGUUGCUGUGUUACUGUCCAAAUGAGACCACGUAAAUGUCCUGUCCUAACUUCCAAUAGCAAACAUAGUUAGGCAAACUUGCGAGGGGGUUUCUAGUGGUUUUAUAUAGGGCAUGCUGAUUGCUAGCACAUCUGCUUGUGCUCUCAAUACAGCUGCAUCUUGAUUUACCCAUUGCCCUCCCCCCAACUCAUUUCAUGAGAUAAAUAUUGUGUUGUGAAAUAUGAAACUACGUGACUUUUUUUUCCCCUUUGGUCAUAGUCACACCCACUAUGUGAAACCAGCCUGUUGUAAGUACUUAUAGCAUAGCCCUAUUAAUUUAAGGAACUGAUUCAUCAUGCUGUGUUGCUUGCUCAGCUAUUCAAAGCUGUUGUAAUAGUGUUCCUUUGCUUACCUCUCUACCCUGGCAGCCAUGUUGAGCCUGUUCUGGUUCAGCUUCUGCCUGCUGAGCUAACUGACAGGACCCAGGAGCACACCGAAAUAUUUAGAACCAGUAUUAAUUAUUCUUUUUCCAGCCUUACAGCUAAAGGCGAUGUGGAUGGGCUGUAUGCCUGGUACCUAGCUGGUGCAGACCUGAAGCAAACUGGUUAUGAUGGCAGGAAUCCCCUACAAGUAGCAGAGGCUACAGGGCAUAAGGAGGUUCUUGACUUCUUAAGACAAAAACAGUAAAGAAGAGGCUGUAGAAGAUGGUCACCCUCUUCAGAAACACCAGCUUUGGACAUUAAUAAUGUUAAAUGGUUGUGGGAGGAAAAAAGGAAAGGAACAGUGGAAGCUGUGGUUGGAGCACACAGGAAAGCUAGAGCUUAGAAAUAUCCUUUAUUUAGGAUCACAUUAAUUAAUUCUUACUCAUUUUCUAAAAAUUAUUUGCUGCUUUACCUUUUAAUCACUUUUCUUGAAAAGAAAUGUUUUUAAAACAAGUGAGGCUGGAAUGUAUUGCCUUUAUGUACAAGUUCUGGUUUUAAAGAGGCCUUUUGAAUCUUCUUAUGUUAUCAAUGAGGACAGUAUCGCAGGCCCAGCAAACAGAAUGCUGUGGUGAAUUCAUACAAAGAAAAAACAGUGGAUUGUGCGUUUCUGGGUUUCAACUAAUAAAAUCUCUGAGGAACAA